Molecule: ribosomal RNA, 423 nt
Filed under: Paenibacillus lemnae
Lineage: Bacteria; Bacillati; Bacillota; Bacilli; Caryophanales; Paenibacillaceae
Description: partial 23S ribosomal RNA
Rfam family: Bacterial large subunit ribosomal RNA
Source: RNAcentral
AUGGUUAAGCUACUAAGAGCACACGGAGGAUGCCUAGGCGCUAGGAGCCGAAGAAGGACGUGGCGAACAACGAAACUGCCUCGGGGAGCUGUAAGCAAGCUUUGAUCCGGGGAUGUCCGAAUGGGGAAACCCGGCUGGUGUAAUAGCCAGUCACUCAUAACUGAAUACAUAGGUUAUGCAGAGGCAUACCAGGGGAACUGAAACAUCUAAGUACCCUGAGGAAGAGAAAACAAGAGUGAUUCCGUCAGUAGCGGCGAGCGAACGCGGAACAGCCUAAACCAGAGAGCUUGCUCUCUGGGGUUGUGGGACGUCUCAUAUGGAGUUACAAAGGAAUCGAGUAGGCGAAGAGGUCUGGAAAGGCCCGCUAGAAGAGGUAAAAGCCCUGUAGCUGAAAUUCUGUUCCCUCCGAGACGGAUCCCGAGU